AAGAAAUGUGAUCUGACGCAGGUCCCUCUGACUGCAUGUGGGAAGCAGACUGCAGGUGUGAGGGUGGAAGCAGGAAAACCAAGGACUGGCUGCUGCCGUGAAUCAGAAGAAGACAAGGAUGGACAAGAUCAGAGUGGGAGCAGAGAGCGGCGUCAGGGGUCAACAGAUUCUGCUUAAGACAAAAGUACUCAGAGUGCAGUGCAGAUUUAGGGGAUUCCAGCCCUAUUUCUUGGAAUCCUGGCACCAUCUCCUGCUUCCGAGAUACUUUGCCUGCCAGCUUGCUCUGAAGACCUGAAAUUGGCGCUAUUGAACUCAGCCAGAACAGAGGGAUCAAGUUUGAAAUAUUGAGAUAAAUGCAAAUCCAGAGACUAAACCGCAGAGAUCUGGAUAAAGAAAACAGAUCGCAAGACAGAAGGAAGCCAGGAAUGUGGGGACACUGUAAUCAGAAGAGCAAAAGCCCAGGGGAGACAUUCCCUCCCCCCUACUCACAAACUUACCCACACACCCUUGUUUGGAGUCAACGUCACCAUCCCAUCCUGGAAGAAGAUGUGGACCUGGCCUGCAGCCUCAGUUUUGCCACGGCAGAUCUGGACUUCAGCAACUACACGGUACCAGGGGAUGGUAUUCUGUAGUCCUGGGCAGCGGGAAGAGAGCUCAUAGACACCAGGAGAGGUGGUGGCACCACGGGCCCCAUCAAAGGUGGUGAGGUUGGCACCCACAGACAGGACACAGAGACCACGGGUGGCCCAGCAGUUCCGGGCUUCAGCCUUGACCUCACAUACACGGCCUGGUGGGCAGCCAGCUGCCUGGCAUGUCAGGCUGGAGCUUAAGGAACAGGAACAGCGCUCGCUGCAGUCUGAGAAUCCUGCCCAGCCACCAGGAGAACAAGCCUGGGCUAGUUCCCUAGAAGAUGAGUGACCCCAUGGAACAUAGAUAACUCUUCCAGCUCAGGCCACCCUAGACCAGGCAGCCUUCAGCUGACCCACCAGGCGACUACAGAUAUUAUACAUGAGUAAGCCCAGAGGAUAGCAGAAGAACCGCCCA
Molecule: long non-coding RNA, 1044 nt
Organism: Symphalangus syndactylus (siamang)
Lineage: Eukaryota; Metazoa; Chordata; Mammalia; Primates; Hylobatidae
Source: RefSeq, a predicted model, not a curated record